UUAUGACCUGGGCUACACACGUGCUACAAUGGUUGGUACAACGGGAUGCUACUUCGCGAGAAGAUGCUAAUCUCUUAAAACCAAUCUCAGUUCGGAUUGUAGGCUGCAACUCGCCUACAUGAAGUCGGAAUCGCUAGUAAUCGCGGAUCAGCAUGCCGCGGUGAAUACGUUCCCGGGCCUUGUACACACCGCCCGUCACACCACGGGAGUUUGCAACACCCGAAGUCGGUGAGGUAACCGCAAGG
This 245-nucleotide ribosomal RNA is filed under the name Brevibacillus sp. Its description in RNAcentral is "partial 16S ribosomal RNA". It matches the Rfam family "Bacterial small subunit ribosomal RNA", at positions 1202 to 1446 of the family's 1533-position model. The record is from RNAcentral. Lineage: Bacteria; Bacillati; Bacillota; Bacilli; Caryophanales; Paenibacillaceae.